UGGUUAUCUACAUCCAAACAACCCCUUAACAUGAAACUCCCAAUCAAUCUUGAAAUAGUCCAUCAAAAAUAAAAUUAAAACUUAAAUCACUCGCCCAAAACUCAGCAUCCAAACACAGCAUCCAAACACUCAGAUCAAGGCCCCGUCUCUCUCUCUCUCUCUGAAAACAGAGAUUUUCUCUGUCCAGCUUCUGUAUCACUCUCUCUCCAUGGCCACCACACUGUUCUCAAACUUCAAAUACUCCGACAGCCUCACCGUUGUCGGAAUCUCCGUUUGCACCGCCGUGGUCUGCGAAGCCAUCUCGUGGCUUCUCAUCUACCGAACCUCUUCUUACAAAUCCCUCAAGUCCUCCAUUGACAAAGCCUCCAAGAAGCUCGAGACCAUGAAGACCGACUCAAACCCAACAAAACUCACCGUCAAAAAAUCCAAAACCAAGAAGAUCGAUCGCGUCGAGACCAGUCUCAAGGAAUCGAGUCGCGAUCUCUCUCUCUUCAAAUUCAAGUCAGGCGCUGUGGUUGCUUUGGUCCUGUUCGUCGUGUUUGGAUUGCUCAAUUCGUUGUUCGAAGGCAAGGCCGUCGCGAAAUUGCCCUUUGUGCCCGCUCGAAUCGUGCAGAAGAUGAGCCACAGAGGUUUGCAAGGGGACGAUAUGACGGAUUGUUCGAUGGCAUUUUUGUAUUUCUUGUGUUCGAUCAGCAUUCGCACCAAUUUGCAGAAGUUCUUAGGGUUUUCGCCGCCGCGAGGGGCCGCCGGUGCGGGGUUGUUUCCAAUGCCGGAUCCAAAAAGCAAUUGAUCAAUUCGGAAUAGACCUUUUCUUUCUAUAGUUGGACUGCUUUAAAGCUUGGAUACCUCUCCAGACUUGUUGUUGCACUUGUCUUCGCCCUGUCUGCAUUGCGAUGUCCUAGGUUCAGAGGUUCAUUUACUUGGCAUUUUGGUUGUUUUGCACUAGUAGCUGCUCUGCAUCAACAUUGAGACCAUUUUGCUGUGACGAUCCUUUUAUACGAUAUGCAGUGUCUUGAUAAACAUUCAAAUACUGAUAUUUUGCUAUGACGAUCCUUUUAUGUGCUAUUCUUUCUUUUUGUUCUCUUAAUGAUAUGGUUUAUCUAGAUUGCAAAA
Molecule: RNA transcript, 1113 nt
Organism: Cornus florida
Lineage: Eukaryota; Viridiplantae; Streptophyta; Magnoliopsida; Cornales; Cornaceae
Exons: 3
Source: RefSeq, a predicted model, not a curated record